UAAGACAGAGGGUGCUAGCGUUGUUCGGAAUGACUGGGCGUAAAGGGCGCGUAGGCGGCUUAUUUAGUCAGGCGUGAAAGCCCCGGGCUUAACCUGGGAACUGCGCUUGAUACUGGUAGGCUAGAGUUCGGAAGAGGAAGGUGGAAUUCCUAGUGUAGAGGUGAAAUUCGUAGAUAUUAGGAGGAACAUCUGAGGCGAAGGCGGCCUUCUGGUCCGCAACUGACGCUGAGGCGCGAAAGCGUGGGGAGCAAACAGG
This 256-nucleotide ribosomal RNA is filed under the name uncultured bacterium. RNAcentral's name for it is "partial 16S ribosomal RNA". It matches the Rfam family "Bacterial small subunit ribosomal RNA", at positions 521 to 776 of the family's 1533-position model. The record is from RNAcentral.